GGCCUCUGUACACAAGCUGUCACUCCAAGAUGAGCCCGCGGCCCAUCAGCUAGUUGGCGGGGUAAUGGCCCACCAAGGCUACGACGGGUAGCUGGUCUGAGAGGACGAUCAGCCACACUGGAACUGAGACACGGUCCAGACUCCUACGGGAGGCAGCAGUGAGGAAUAUUGCGCAAUGGGCGAAAGCCUGACGCAGCAACGCCGCGUGUGUGAUGAAGGUCUUCGGAUCGUAAAGCACUGUCGGGAGGGACGAAUAAGGCGGCGGCUAACAUCCGCAGCCGAUGACGGUACCUCCAAAGGAAGCACCGGCUAACUCUGUGCCAGCAGCCGCGGUAAUACAGAGGGUGCUAGCGUUGUUCGGAAUUAUUGGGCGUAAAGCGCGUGUAGGCGGCCUUGCAAGUUGGGUGUGAAAGCCCUCGGCUUAACCGAGGAAGUGCGCCCAAAACUACAAGGCUUGAGUACCGGAGAGGGUGGCGGAAUUCCCGGUGUAGAGGUGAAAUUCGUAGAUAUCGGGAGGAACACCAGUGGCGAAGGCGGCCACCUGGACGGAUACUGACGCUGAGACGCGAAAGCGUGGGUAGCA
RNAcentral lists this ribosomal RNA (583 nucleotides) under uncultured Anaeromyxobacter sp. Its description in RNAcentral is "bacterial SSU rRNA". It matches the Rfam family "Bacterial small subunit ribosomal RNA", at positions 202 to 770 of the family's 1533-position model. The record is from RNAcentral. Lineage: Bacteria; Pseudomonadati; Myxococcota; Myxococcia; Myxococcales; Anaeromyxobacteraceae.